UGGGGAAUCUUAGACAAUGGGCGCAAGCCUGAUCUAGCCAUGCCGCGUGAGUGAUGAAGGCCUUAGGGUCGUAAAGCUCUUUCGCCUGUGAAGAUAAUGACUGUAGCAGGUAAAGAAACCCCGGCUAACUCCGUGCCAGCAGCCGCGGUAAUACGGAGGGGGUUAGCGUUGUUCGGAAUUACUGGGCGUAAAGCGCGCGUAGGCGGACAUUUAAGUCAGAGGUGAAAUCCCAGGGCUCAACCCUGGAACUGCCUUUGAUACUGGGUGUCUUGAGUUCGAGAGAGGUGAGUGGAAUUCCGAGUGUAGAGGUGAAAUUCGUAGAUAUUCGGAGGAACACCAGUGGCGAAGGCGGCUCACUGGCUCGAUACUGACGCUGAGGUGCGAAAGUGUGGGGAGCAAACAGGAUUAGAUACCCUGGUAGUCCACACCGUAAACGAUGAAUGCCAGACGUCGGGCAGUAUACUGUUCGGUGUCACACCUAACGGAUUAAGCAUUCCGCCUGGGGAGUACGGUCGCAAGAUUA
This 523-nucleotide ribosomal RNA is filed under the name uncultured Alphaproteobacteria bacterium. RNAcentral's name for it is "bacterial SSU rRNA". It matches the Rfam family "Bacterial small subunit ribosomal RNA", at positions 355 to 896 of the family's 1533-position model. The record is from RNAcentral. Lineage: Bacteria; Pseudomonadati; Pseudomonadota; Alphaproteobacteria.